Molecule: long non-coding RNA, 836 nt
Organism: Archocentrus centrarchus (flier cichlid)
Lineage: Eukaryota; Metazoa; Chordata; Actinopteri; Cichliformes; Cichlidae
Exons: 3
Source: RefSeq, a predicted model, not a curated record
CAUACGGCUCGUCCCCGCCCCCCCCCUCUGCGCUGAAAGCAGUUACAGGUGUUGAACGAGGCCGACUCUUGCAUCAGAUUUAACUCGCCUCACAUCCAGUUAGCAGACAUGAUCAUCAGACUGGGCAGGCUGACACCUGGAUACUUCCGUCUCCUCCAGAGGCAAGUUGCAGGUGAGGUGCAGACACAGCCACAAGACCGUGCCAUCAACCAGAUAGCCAUGAUGCUGGCCAUCAUGGGCCUGAGUUUAUCUUACUACAGUGCCAGACAAAUGACAGAGAAGGUCAACGCCCAGCCUGCACCCUGAAGAGACCUGGUGCAGUUUGUUGAGAUAAUGGGUGAUCCAGUGACAAAUGAUGGCGGUGGAGUGAGGAAGUAAAAGUUGAGACAUAGCACUGUCUCUCAGGACCGCACCUUUCUCACCUCAGACAUUGUCACACUUAAACACUGAAUAUUUGGGAUCCCUCACUUACUAUGUGCAAAACUCUAACCUGUCGCUGAAUGUUUUCUACUCUUUCUAUUGCCAGGACUUUCAGGGAUUUGUGGGGUUGGCUCACUUUGGGUCGUGGAUAGGACUAUUUUCUUUAGACUGGUUUGGGUGGGUGAUCAAAACCUUGAAAGCCAAUUGGGUCUGACUGCUAUUUACCAGGCUAGAUGCUUGCAAGAUGCUGUCAGUAUUGUUCUGGGCUAAAAAAAAAAAGCAACCUAAACUGUGAAACAAUCUUCUUCAGAAGGGAUUCAGUGAUAUGAAGAGUAAUGCCUUUUUAAGGGAAUGCUAACUGCAACUGAGAUUUAACUUGUCAUGAAGGGAAUGUGAAUAAAGGGGAUGAAAAUGUA